GUUGAUUUGGGGGCGAGAUU
This 20-nucleotide small nuclear RNA is filed under the name Arabidopsis thaliana (thale cress). RNAcentral's name for it is "snRNA_10939". Lineage: Eukaryota; Viridiplantae; Streptophyta; Magnoliopsida; Brassicales; Brassicaceae. The record is from RNAcentral.